GGUGGCUUGGUGGUAGAGUGCUUGCCUUGCAUGCAUGAGGCCUUAGGUUCAAUUCCUCAGCACCA
Molecule: transfer RNA, 65 nt
Filed under: Dipodomys ordii (Ord's kangaroo rat)
Lineage: Eukaryota; Metazoa; Chordata; Mammalia; Rodentia; Heteromyidae
Rfam family: tRNA
About the family: Transfer RNA (tRNA) molecules are approximately 80 nucleotides in length. Their secondary structure includes four short double-helical elements and three loops (D, anti-codon, and T loops). Further hydrogen bonds mediate the characteristic L-shaped molecular structure. tRNAs have two regions of fundamental functional importance: the anti-codon, which is responsible for specific mRNA codon recognition, and the 3' end, to which the tRNAs corresponding amino acid is attached (by aminoacyl-tRNA synthetases). tRNAs cope with the degeneracy of the genetic code in two manners: having more than one tRNA (with a specific anti-codon) for a particular amino acid; and 'wobble' base-pairing, i.e. permitting non-standard base-pairing at the 3rd anti-codon position.
Source: Rfam by way of RNAcentral